GAAUUCCAGCUCCAAUAGCGUAUAUUAACGUUGUUGCAGWUAAAAAGCUCGUAGUUGAAGUGUGGGUGRUGCUGKCUGAAUGACUUCGGUYAGUCAGAUGAUCACUACCCCCUUCCAGUAUCCAGUAGUGGGUAUUCACUUACUUACUACUGUGUGUUGGUCCUUUACUGUGAGAAAAUUAGAGUGUUCAAAGCAGGCGUUUGCUUGAAUAGAUUAGCAUGGAAUAAUAAUUGAAGGCUUUCGUGUUCGAUUUGAUUGGUUUGUUCAUGGAAGCAAGGUUAAAAGGAACAGUUGGGGGUAUUCAUAUUCACUAGUUAGAGGUGAAAUUCUCGGAUUUAUGGAAGAUGAACAAGUGCGAAAGCAAUGUU
Molecule: ribosomal RNA, 368 nt
Filed under: Blastocystis sp.
Lineage: Eukaryota; Bigyra; Opalinata; Blastocystidae
Description: SSU rRNA
Source: RNAcentral